Long non-coding RNA from Populus euphratica (Euphrates poplar), 372 nucleotides. RefSeq lists it as uncharacterized. The transcript is spliced from 2 exons. Lineage: Eukaryota; Viridiplantae; Streptophyta; Magnoliopsida; Malpighiales; Salicaceae. The record is from RefSeq and is a predicted model, not a curated record.
UGCUUUCCUUACCUACUGUGCCAAACGGAUGCUUCGAAGCAAUCUUGUUGAACACUUCUUUCCAAUUCGGUCUUGCAAAGUGUGUCCUUACCUGCAACAAAAUAGAGCCAAAUGAUGAAUAAGGGAACAUACUCGAGUGCCUGACACGAUGUCAACACCAUGUUUCGCAUGGUUGAGGGCUUGGACCAUGGUGAUCAAAGUUGACCUUGCAUCACCUUCUUCGUAAACGCUUGUAAGGUAGUUGUGCAGUUCGAUUUGACCCUAUUUCGUUAUAUAAGAAAGGGAAGGUUAAUACCUCUCACUUUGUAAUGAUAGCCGUGGUAAUUUAUUUGAGACAUGGAGAAUGAACAUGGGUUGGAAGUUUUUGUCUUA